ACAUGAUCAGUUAUCCAAAUAGCAUCAAAUUUGUAUCCACCAACAAGUGUUACCAAUAUAUAUGGUCACUGGCUUGAUGGAAUACCAAAUACUUUUAGUACCCUAAUACGGGUGGGAGCGUCUGGCUUACUAUGGUCGCUUUGGCUAUGUAGAAAUGAUUGUGUUUUUAAUGACAAAAUCUCUUCUCCUAUGCAGGUUAUUUACCGUUGUACGCACUGGCUUCGUAUGUGGUCUACUCUGCACCGAACGGAGUACCAAUUGCUGUUCAAGGCGGUGUGUAUGCGGUUGGAGCGGGUGGCCAGGGAGGUUUUUACCCAACAUGGGUGGCAGCAUAAUCUCCGAAUCGAUCCACCUUCUCCGUCGACAUAG
RNAcentral lists this ribosomal RNA (369 nucleotides) under Triticum aestivum (bread wheat). RNAcentral describes it as "partial small subunit ribosomal RNA". Lineage: Eukaryota; Viridiplantae; Streptophyta; Magnoliopsida; Poales; Poaceae. The record is from RNAcentral.